RNAcentral lists this ribosomal RNA (434 nucleotides) under uncultured Lachnospiraceae bacterium. Its description in RNAcentral is "partial 16S ribosomal RNA". It matches the Rfam family "Bacterial small subunit ribosomal RNA", at positions 341 to 792 of the family's 1533-position model. Lineage: Bacteria; Bacillati; Bacillota; Clostridia; Lachnospirales; Lachnospiraceae. The record is from RNAcentral.
ACGGAAGGCAGCAGUGGGGGAUAUUGCACAAUGGGGGAAACCCUGAUGCAGCGACGCCGCGUGAGCGAAGAAGUAUUUCGGUAUGUAAAGCUCUAUCAGCAGGGAAGAAAAUGACGGUACCUGACUAAGAAGCUCCGGCUAAAUACGUGCCAGCAGCCGCGGUAAUACGUAUGGAGCAAGCGUUAUCCGGAUUUACUGGGUGUAAAGGGAGCGUAGACGGUUUGCCAAGUCUGAUGUGAAAGGUGGGGGCUCAACCCCCAAACUGCAUUGGAAACUGGUAGACUAGAGUGUCGGAGAGGUAAGUGGAAUUCCUAGUGUAGCGGUGAAAUGCGUAGAUAUUAGGAGGAACACCAGUGGCGAAGGCGGCUUACUGGACGAUAACUGACGUUGAGGCUCGAAAGCGUGGGGAGCAAGCAGGAUUAGAUACCCUGGUA